UUAGUUAAAGCCAAAAAGAGGCAUAUCACUGUUAAUGAUAGAACUGAAAUAAAAUUUCUAACUAAG
This 66-nucleotide transfer RNA is filed under the name Atyopsis moluccensis. RNAcentral's name for it is "tRNA-Asn". Lineage: Eukaryota; Metazoa; Arthropoda; Malacostraca; Decapoda; Atyidae. The record is from RNAcentral.